Molecule: ribosomal RNA, 466 nt
Filed under: uncultured bacterium
Lineage: Bacteria
Description: partial 16S ribosomal RNA
Rfam family: Bacterial small subunit ribosomal RNA
Source: RNAcentral
GACGAACGCUGGCGGCGCGCCUAACACAUGCAAGUCGAACGAGCGAGCGAGAGCUUGCUUUCUUGAGCGAGUGGCGAACGGGUGAGUAACGCGUGAGGAACCUGCCUCAAAGAGGGGGACAACAGUUGGAAACGACUGCUAAUACCGCAUAAGCCCACGGUGCCGCAUGGCACAGAGGGAAAAGAAGCAAUCCGCUUUGAGAUGGCCUCGCGUCCGAUUAGCUAGUUGGUGAGGUAACGGCCCACCAAGGCGACGAUCGGUAGCCGGACUGAGAGGUUGAACGGCCACAUUGGGACUGAGACACGGCCCAGACUCCUACGGGAGGCAGCAGUGGGGAAUAUUGCACAAUGGGGGAAACCCUGAUGCAGCGACGCCGCGUGGAGGAAGAAGGUCUUCGGAUUGUAAACUCCUGUUGUUGGGGAAGAUAAUGACGGUACCCAACAAGGAAGUGACGGCUAACUACGUG